ACGCUGGCGGCGUGCCUAACACAUGCAAGUCGAACGAGAUCCAUGGGAGCUUGCUCCCGGAAGAUCUAGUGGCGAACGGGUGAGUAACACGUGAGAAACCUGCCCUGGAGUGGGGAAUAACUCGGGGAAACUCGAGCUAAUACCGCAUACCCUCGGAUGGUCGCAUGGCCGACCGAGGAAAGAUUUAUCGCUCUAGGAGGGUCUCGCGGCCUAUCAGCUAGUUGUGGGUAACGGCCUACCAAGGCAACGACGGGUAGCUGGUUUGAGAGAACGAUCAGCCACACUGGGACUGAGACACGGCCCAGACUCCUACGGGAGGCAGCAGUGGGGAAUCUUGCGCAAUGGGCGAAAGCCUGACGCAGCAACGCCGCGUGCGGGAUGACGGCCUUCGUGGUUGUAAACCGCUUUCAGCAGGGACGAAAAUGACGGUACCUGCAGAAGAAGCCCCGGCUAACUACGUG
RNAcentral lists this ribosomal RNA (461 nucleotides) under uncultured bacterium. RNAcentral describes it as "bacterial SSU rRNA". It matches the Rfam family "Bacterial small subunit ribosomal RNA", at positions 33 to 507 of the family's 1533-position model. The record is from RNAcentral.